GUGAGGAAUAUUGGACAAUGGAUGGAAAUCUGAUCCAGCCAUGCCGCGUGCAGGAAGACGGCCCUAUGGGUUGUAAACUGCUUUUAUACGGGAGCUAUAAGGUCUAUGCAUAGAUUGAUGAGAGUACCGUAUGAAUAAGCAUCGGCUAACUCUGUGCCAGCAGCCGCGGUAAUACGGAGGAUUCGAGCGUUAUCCGGAUUUAUUGGGUUUAAAGGGUCCGUAGGCGGCUUUGUAAGUCAGCGGUGAAAUUUUGCAGCUUAACUGUAAAAGCGCCGUUGAUACUGUGGAGCGAGGAUUGGGUUGCUGUGGGCGGAAUGUGUAGUGUAGCGGUGAAAUGCAUAGAGAUCACACAGAAUAUCGAUUGCGAAGGCAGCUCACAAAGCCAAUAUUGACGCUGAGGCACGAAAGUGUGGGGAUCAAACAGGAUUAGAAACCCGAGUAGUCC
RNAcentral lists this ribosomal RNA (445 nucleotides) under uncultured bacterium. RNAcentral describes it as "partial 16S ribosomal RNA". It matches the Rfam family "Bacterial small subunit ribosomal RNA", at positions 354 to 796 of the family's 1533-position model. The record is from RNAcentral.